AAAGAGGUUUUUACCGCCAUCUCUAUACACGAGGAGGAAUCAAAGUCACAACAAUAGUUAGUUUCAAUCUAAACUCUUUAAAAAAAAAAAAUCUAAGAAUACAAAGCUAGAUUAAGCAACAAAGCCCUAACUUCUCAUCAACAGCAUCUAAAUUAGCAGCACUCAUAAACCACUGGAAGUUAGAUAUUGGAGGAAACUAAAUCAUAUGAUUUGGGCUCUUAGUUAGUGAGCAAAUGCAAAUGGUUUAGCUUCCUCCAACUCUCCCUUUCAGGAUCCAUGGCAUCUUUCUCACAAUAAUGUUAUAGUGAUUUCACAAACCAUCGAAGGUAAAAUAUUGGAGGAAACGAAAGCAAAUAUGAUAAAUGUUUUGGGUUCCUCCAACUCUUACUUUCAAGAUAUGUGCACGGCCAUUGGCCAAAGCUUGAACUGCUUCUUGCAAUGAAGAUUCUAUUUAUAGAGAUAAAUAUGCUGCUAACGGGCACAUAUUUGUUUAGGAAGAAUACCAUGUGCAAUUCCUGAAGCCAUCUCAUGCAUAUUUUCCACUAGUCAUGAGAGGCGUGUGUGAGAGAUUCCAUUUGGAGGCUAUUGCUACGAGAUGCAAGUAUCAAUAAAUGUGAAAUUUGAGUGUGGGGACAAUAAGUGAAAAGUGUAAAAAGGUAAUUAGAUUCAUAAAUCUGAGAGAUAGAAUUGAAUGUGUAUAAAUUCUAAUGGUGAAAAACACACACACAUAUAUCGUAGAACAACCCCUAUUUGGAGCUCGUGUGAAGGGCAGUUCUAUGAUUGAACCGACAAGUGUCCUGCCCUGGCCCGAGUACAAGUCAAAAUGAGUGGUUUUGAAGAACAAUGUUGUCACAAUGGGAUAAUGUUAAAGAAUGGUAAAUGUCUGUCUCAACAGCAAUAUUUUUGAAUGUUAAAAGAAGAAUGUGGGUUUGAUCCAUAUGUGUUUGCAAGGGAAGGAACCUUUCUCACAGAUUAUUGCUACCAACUUUUUCGAAGGCUAUGGUUUUUCUUUUCUUUUUUCUCUAAAAUAGAGAGAUGAUGUGUUCAAUCAAGUGAAAAGCAAAGGUACAAAACCGAAGGAGGCCUAUCACCUCGCCUGAACAAUUAGCAGAUACAAAGUAAAAAUAAAGAGACUACCGAGUCAGGGCAAUUCUUGCCACAUGAUGGGCAGCCCAGUUUACCUCUCGCCUAAUGAAUUUAAAAGGAACAAACCAGAAAACAGCUAUAGAUACAACUAUCAUCAUCAAUGAUGAUUUCAAUGGAUUGCAAAGGAGGAACUCUCCUAGCCGCAGCUUCAAAUGAUAGAGCAUCACCUUCGAAGAUUACUCUCUGCAGACCUUGGUCCUUAGCAGCCAACACAGCUUCCAUCAAGCCCAAUGCUUCCAAGACUACAGGAUCAACUUGAUCAGGCACCCUCUUACAUCCUUCAAACGAUACAGCACAUGUUGUCCUUGGCCACGAAUCCAGUUCCACCACAUCUCUCCGCUAGAUUGGUCGCUGCAUCAAAACUAAUUUUAACAACACUCAACUCAGGGUGGACCAGGAGGUCAUGUUCCCAGUACGAACCAGUGUUUUCCCCUCGACAGCAAUCAUUCUGGGUCCUAGGAGCCUGGAGAUAAUCCUCAUACAGCCUUUGAGCUUAGAUUAAUAAUCUCCAUACCUGACCAAUCUUUACCUGAAAGAAAAAUUCGUUCCAGGCUAUCCAGAGGAACCACAGAAUGUAAAGUGCCCAGUUAUUCAUCCCCCAACUAUCUUGAUGGUUCUAUAACCAGUUCGAGAUGCUAAACCAAACCUCCAUCGGGUAGUUACCUUCUAACCUAUCAAUUCUGAAGUUGAGAGGGAGAGAAACCACACUUGGCACUCCAAGUCACAGUGACAUAGAGCAUGCAAGAGAGGAGAGGACAUACAUUUUCCAAAUAAUUUAUAUCGGCUGAGAAGCUCACCGGAUUCAUAAAGAAAUUACUUCUGAUCAGGAGGUCUGUAGUCUGUACAGUUUAAUAUUAUGUUGAAUAGUGUCUUUGUUUUCAAGUUGUUGAAAUAUCAAUUAGUCCAAUAUUAGUCCAAUAGCAUAGCUAUUCAAUAGUACAUGGUCCACAGAGUAAUUAAUAAUUACAGCAUAUAUACUCCAUCUUGUUCUUCCAUAAGACAGAGUAGUAGUACCAAGCAUGAAGCCUUCAUGCAUA
This 2183-nucleotide unclassified non-coding RNA is filed under the name Hevea brasiliensis (rubber tree). The record is from RNAcentral. Lineage: Eukaryota; Viridiplantae; Streptophyta; Magnoliopsida; Malpighiales; Euphorbiaceae.